RNAcentral lists this ribosomal RNA (492 nucleotides) under uncultured bacterium. Its description in RNAcentral is "partial 16S ribosomal RNA". It matches the Rfam family "Bacterial small subunit ribosomal RNA", at positions 29 to 507 of the family's 1533-position model. The record is from RNAcentral.
AGUGAACGCUGGCGGUAGGCCUAACACAUGCAAGUCGAACGGCAGCACAGUAAGAGCUUGCUCUUACGGGUGGCGAGUGGCGGACGGGUGAGGAAUACAUCGGAAUCUACUUUUUCGUGGGGGAUAACGUAGGGAAACUUACGCUCAUACCGCAUACGACCUACGGGUGAAAGCAGGGGAUCUUCGGACCUUGCGCGAUUGAAUGAGCCGAUGUCGGAUUUGCUAGUUGGCGGGGUAAAGGCCCACCAAGGCGACGAUCCGUAGCUGGUGUGAGAGGAUGAUCGGCCACACUGGAACUGAGACACGGUCCAGACUACUACGGGAGGCAGCAGUGGGGAAUAUUGGACAAUGGGCGCAAGCCUGAUCCAGCCAUACCGCGUGGGUGAAGAAGGCCUUCGGGUUGUAAAGCCCUUUUGUUGGGAAAGAAAAGCAGCAGGUUAAUACCCCGCGGUUCUGACGGUACCCAAAGAAUAAGCACCGGCUAACUUCGUG